This 460-nucleotide ribosomal RNA is filed under the name uncultured bacterium. Its description in RNAcentral is "partial 16S ribosomal RNA". It matches the Rfam family "Bacterial small subunit ribosomal RNA", at positions 338 to 795 of the family's 1533-position model. The record is from RNAcentral.
CCUACGGGAGGCAGCAGUGAGGAAUAUUGGUCAAUUGCCGGAAGGCUGAACCAGCCAAGCCGCGUGAAGGACGAAGGUGCCAAGCAUUGUAAACUUCUUUUGUCAAGGGACAAAAUCAGGCUCGAGAGCCUGACCGAUGGUACUUGAAGAAAAAGCAUCGGCUAACUCCGUGCCAGCAGCCGCGGUAAUACGGAGGAUGCGAGCGUUAUCCGGAUUUAUUGGGGUUAAAGGGUGCGUAGGCGGGCUGUUAAGUCAGCGGUAAAAGCCCGGGGCUCAACCGUAAAAUUGCAAUUGAUACUGGCAGUCUUGAGUACAGUUGAGGUAGGCGGAAUUCGUGGUGUAGCGGUGAAAUGCUUAGAUAUCACGAAGAACUCCGAUUGCGAAGGCAGCUUACUAAACUGCCACUGACAUUGAUGCUCGAAAGUGUGGGUAUCAAACAGGAUUAGAUACCCUGGUAGUC